UGCCACAGCAAUGUCACCCUGCAGCCCAAGACCGCUUACUCACUGAAGCUAAGCAGGGCUGAGCCUGGUCAGUAGCUGGAUGGGAGACCACUAGGGAACACUAGGUUGCUGUUGGAA
RNAcentral lists this ribosomal RNA (117 nucleotides) under Danio rerio (zebrafish). The record is from RNAcentral. Lineage: Eukaryota; Metazoa; Chordata; Actinopteri; Cypriniformes; Danionidae.